RNAcentral lists this transfer RNA (69 nucleotides) under Dipodomys ordii (Ord's kangaroo rat). It matches the Rfam family "tRNA". From Rfam's summary of the family: Transfer RNA (tRNA) molecules are approximately 80 nucleotides in length. Their secondary structure includes four short double-helical elements and three loops (D, anti-codon, and T loops). Lineage: Eukaryota; Metazoa; Chordata; Mammalia; Rodentia; Heteromyidae. The record is from Rfam by way of RNAcentral.
GUAGUUGGCUCGGUGCUAGAGCGCUUGCCUUGCAUGCAUGAGGUCCUGGGUUCGAUUCCCAGGACCACA